AGCAGCCGCCGCGGUAAAACAGAGGGUGCGAGCGUUAAUCGGAUUUACUGGGCGUAAAGCGUGCGUAGGCGGCUUCUUAAGUCGGAUGUGAAAUCCCUGAGCUUAACUUAGGAAUUGCAUUCGAUACUGGGAAGCUAGAGUAUGGGAGAGGAUGGUAGAAUUCCAGGUGUAGCGGUGAAAUGCGUAGAGAUCUGGAGGAAUACCGAUGGCGAAGGCAGCCAUCUGGCCUAAUACUGACGCUGAGGUACGAAAGCAUGGGGAGCAAACAGGAUUAGAUACCCCAGUAGUCCCUGUCUCUUAUAC
Molecule: ribosomal RNA, 303 nt
Filed under: uncultured bacterium
Lineage: Bacteria
Description: partial 16S ribosomal RNA
Rfam family: Bacterial small subunit ribosomal RNA
Source: RNAcentral